GGUCCCGUAGCCAAGUGGUUAGGCAACGGAUUGCAAAUCCGUCUACCCCAGUUCGAUUCUGGGCGGGACCUCCA
RNAcentral lists this transfer RNA (74 nucleotides) under Planctomycetota bacterium. RNAcentral describes it as "Planctomycetes bacterium (bioreactor metagenome) tRNA-Cys". It matches the Rfam family "tRNA". From Rfam's summary of the family: Transfer RNA (tRNA) molecules are approximately 80 nucleotides in length. Their secondary structure includes four short double-helical elements and three loops (D, anti-codon, and T loops). Lineage: Bacteria; Pseudomonadati; Planctomycetota. RNAcentral also lists the same sequence under 1 other name. The record is from RNAcentral.